RNAcentral lists this ribosomal RNA (578 nucleotides) under Microcharidius sp. 21 CA-2017. RNAcentral's name for it is "partial large subunit ribosomal RNA". The stretch from base 338 to 496 matches the Rfam family "Bacterial large subunit ribosomal RNA", at positions 2473 to 2632 of the family's 2925-position model. The record is from RNAcentral. Lineage: Eukaryota; Metazoa; Arthropoda; Insecta; Coleoptera; Carabidae.
AAUGGCCGCAGUAAUUUGACUGUGCAAAGGUAGCAUAAUCAAUAGUUUUUUAAUUGAAAGCUUGUAUGAAAGGUUGGACGAAAUAAUAUCUGUCUUUAUUUAAUAAUUAUUAAAAUUUAAUUUUUAAGUUAAAAAGCUUAAAUAAUUAUAAAAGACGAGAAGACCCUAUAAAGCUUUAUAAAUUUUAAUUUAUAAAUAUUUUAGAUUUUUUAUUUUUAUAAUUUUAAAUUUAUUUUAUUGGGGUAAUAGAAAGAUUUAAUUAAUUCUUUUUUUAUAUUUUAUUUAUUUAUAUUUUAAUGAUCCAUUAUUAUUGAUUAUAAGAUUAAGUUACUUUAGGGAUAACAGCGUAAUUUUUUUAGAGAGUUCAUAUUGAUAAAAAAGUUUGCGACCUCGAUGUUGGAUUAAAGAUUAAUUUAGGUGCAAAAGUUUAAAUUUUUGGUCUGUUCGACCAUUAAAUCUUUACAUGAUCUGAGUUCAGACCGGUUUAAGCCAGGUCGGUUUCUAUCUUUAUUAUAUUAAAAUAUUUUAGUACGAAAGGACCAAAUAUUAAUUAUAUUAAUUAUGAUUUGAAUAAUAAU